GAGAGGGUAGAAAGCUUGUAAGAGCCAGAGUCAAGGAGAAUCCACGUGUGCUGGACACAACAGGAUGCCUGCAUUUAUGAGUUCACAACUGUGGUUGCCUGCUCAAGAUUAAGCCAGUUUACACUCCAGCUUGGAGGAGGAGGCUCAUGACUCCCUACCCCUACUUGAGUGCCAGUGACAGUCAGGACUUCUAGGGAAGAGAGUCAGACUUCUUUAAGGGUUUUGGUUUUUUUUGAGACAAGGUUUCUCUGUAUAGCCCUAGCUGUCUUAAAACUCACUCUGUAGACCACGUUGGCCUUGAACUUACAGAGAUCUGCCUUCCUCUUUCUCCCAAGUGCUGGCAUCAAAGGGCGGUGUUCUCAUGACCUGAUCACCACCCAGCUCCUUAUGGUCCUGCCAUCUCCCACGACUGCUACAAUAAGACCAAGCUUUCAGCAACUAAGGCAUGGGGAAACUAACCACAUUCAACCCAUGGCCGGGUUGAUGACUCAUUUUGAAUCAACUUUUGUGGAGGAUUCAAGGUGUGUAUCCACAGUCAUUGUGAUUUCAUGUAUUCAUCUGGUUGUUCUAGCACAGUUCAUUCACUGGAAAGACUGUCCUUUCCCCAUCACCUUUGCACACUUGCUGAAGAGGAGUCGCCCGCAUCUGCCUGACUCCGUUUCUAGAUUGUCCUCUGUUCCACUGGACUAUGCGUACAUACAGCUGUUGUGUCACAGUCAUCUUCUUUUUUUUUUUUUUUUAAUUUUGGUUUUUCAAGACAGGGUUUCUCUAUGUAGCCCUGGCUGUCCUGGAACUCACUCUGUUGACCAGGCUGGCCUUGAACUCGGAGAUCUACCUGCCACUGUCUCCCAAGUGCUGGGAUUAAAGGCAUACGCCACCACUGCCUGGUUGUGUCACAGUCUUAACCAGUGCAACCCUCUAGGAAGUUUUGAAAUGGGGUAGUGAGAAUACAUCAACACUUACUAAGUUAGUUAUUCUAAAUUCUUUGCAUUUCAUAUAAACUUUAAAUUCAACUUGCUGAUGUCUACAAAACACCUUGCUAGAAUUUUACUGAUAUUUCAUUGACUCUAUAGUUCAAGUUGGCAUAUCAGCUAUAACGAGUCUUUUAACCCACCAGCAUAGAAUAGCAUAGAUAGACAUAAGCUGUUGCUCCUGAGUCGCUGAAAGGCAAGCUGGUGGAAAGCCUAAUUUACAAUGACUGGUUCCAGAUUUGGGCACCAGAUGAAUGGGAAAAAGAAAUAAAAAAGGAAAUGACAUGACUCUCCUAGGUAUGGUGGAGGAGACAGUUUAGUGUUGAUAAAAGGAAGAGCAUAGCCAGAAGCAGGGACAUCUGGAAGAGUCCAGAGUGGACAUGAUCAGAUUGAGCCAGGCCAUGUGAAGAGAGGUGGGAGGGAAGGGGAAAGAGGAGAGAGGAGCUGUCAAUCAAGGACAGCUUGGGCCAAGAGACUGGCAUAUCCAAAAUGACUGGGUUAUAUAGGAAAGGGCAGUCCAGCCCUCAGAUUGGAGACAUUUAGAGGAGGGGGCAGGGUAUGCCACCCAGGAGGGCCCUGUAACAGGUAGAAACUGAGGGAUGCUGGGAGAACCUGGAAGCCAGCAUCUCCUUUGAUAUGUUAAAUAGGCACCUCUGCUGUUUGUCUUGGAUUUGAGACCUAACACCUGGCAGCAUCUGAUAAAGCCCUUCUUGCUGCUUCAUGCCCUGGUGAAAAACAGAAGGGUAAGAAAAUGGGGUACGGCGCGGGUAGAGCAAGCAUUCUUUCAUCAGAGCCCACUCCUACAAUGACGAAUCUACUUGAAGCUAUUCUUGAUAACAGCAUUCAUUCAUGAGAGUGGAGCCUUCCUAAUCUUAUCCCGUCUUAAAUGUCUCAUCUAAGGAGCACAUACCAAUAGGCAUGCUAAUGUGAAUGGGGGAAAGCUCAGGAAAUUCUAACCCUACACAAAGAACUACAGGCAACUAAGCAAUGCUGAGAGCCAGAGAAAUAGUCUUACCCAGGGAAAACUGGGUAUCCAAUACCAAGUGGUUAGUCCUGAAAACAUAGACAUGCAAGUAAUGUUAUACUGACUGAGCAGGUUGCAUUUAUAUAUUUAGG
Molecule: long non-coding RNA, 2087 nt
Organism: Peromyscus californicus insignis
Lineage: Eukaryota; Metazoa; Chordata; Mammalia; Rodentia; Cricetidae
Exons: 3
Source: RefSeq, a predicted model, not a curated record